GCCUACGGCCAUGCCACCCUGAACAUGCCCGAUCUUGUCUGAUCUCAGAAGCUAAGCAGGGUCGGGCCUGUUUAGUACUUGGAUGGGAGACCACCUAGGAAUAACAGAUGCUGUAAGCG
Molecule: ribosomal RNA, 119 nt
Filed under: Pteropus alecto (black flying fox)
Lineage: Eukaryota; Metazoa; Chordata; Mammalia; Chiroptera; Pteropodidae
Source: RNAcentral